RNAcentral lists this ribosomal RNA (440 nucleotides) under uncultured bacterium. RNAcentral's name for it is "partial 16S ribosomal RNA". It matches the Rfam family "Bacterial small subunit ribosomal RNA", at positions 339 to 795 of the family's 1533-position model. The record is from RNAcentral.
CUACGGGCCGCUGCAGUGAGGAAUAUUGCACAAUGGGGGGAACCCUGAUGCAGCAACGCCGCGUGGAGGAUGACGCAUUUCGGUGUGUAAACUCCUUUUAUAUGUCAAGAAAAUGACGGUAGCAUAUGAAUAAGCACCGGCUAACUCCGUGCCAGCAGCCGCGGUAAUACGGAGGGUGCAAGCGUUACUCGGAAUCACUGGGCGUAAAGGACGCGUAGGCGGGUUGGAAAGUCAGGUGUGAUAUCCUACAGCUUAACUGUAGAACUGCACUUGAAACUUCUAAUCUAGAGUAUGGGAGGGGGAGAUGGAAUUAGUGGUGUAGGGAUAAAAUCCGUAGAUAUCACUAGGAAUACCUAAAGCGAAGGCGAUCUCCUGGAACAUUACUGACGCUAAGGCGUGAAAGCGUGGGGAGCAAACAGGAUUAGAAUACCCUUGUAGUC